RNAcentral lists this RNase P RNA (399 nucleotides) under Azospirillum thermophilum. RNAcentral's name for it is "Bacterial RNase P class A". It matches the Rfam family "Bacterial RNase P class A". From Rfam's summary of the family: Ribonuclease P (RNase P) is a ubiquitous endoribonuclease, found in archaea, bacteria and eukarya as well as chloroplasts and mitochondria. The record is from Rfam by way of RNAcentral. Lineage: Bacteria; Pseudomonadati; Pseudomonadota; Alphaproteobacteria; Rhodospirillales; Azospirillaceae.
CCAGACGGCCGGAUGGCCGCCUUCGGGUCACACCGGGGGAGGAAAGUCCGGGCUCCACGGAAACACGGUGCCGGCUAACGGCCGGCGGGGGCGACCCAGGGAAAGUGCCACAGAAAGCAAACCGCCGGCGCCUUGGCGCCGGUAAGGGUGAAAGGGUGCGGUAAGAGCGCACCGCGUCCCCGGCAACGGGGAUGGCACGGUAAACCCCACCGGGAGCAAGACCGAAUAGGGGCGGCCCGGCCGCCCGUCCUUCGGGACGGGACGGGGCCAAGCGCGUUUCCGCGCCGCCGCCCGGGUUGGUCGCGCGAGGCGUCGGGUAACCGGCGUCCCAGAUGAAUGGCCAUCGCCCGGCCCCUCGGGGUUGGGACACAGAACCCGGCUUACAGGCCGUCUGGCACU